Molecule: ribosomal RNA, 239 nt
Filed under: uncultured bacterium
Lineage: Bacteria
Description: partial 16S ribosomal RNA
Rfam family: Bacterial small subunit ribosomal RNA
Source: RNAcentral
ACUCCUACGGGAGGCAGCAGUGGGGAAUAUUGCACAAUGGGCGCAAGCCUGAUGCAGCCAUGCCGCGUGUAUGAAGAAGGCCUUCGGGUUGUAAAGUACUUUCAGCAGUGAGGAAGGUGGGAUGCGUUAAUAGCUAAUUCAUUGAUCGUAUGCUGCAGAAGAAGCACCGGCUAACUCCGUGCCAGCAGCCGCGGUAAUACGGAGGGUGCGAGCGUUAAUCGGAAUUACUGGGCGUAAAA